RNAcentral lists this ribosomal RNA (253 nucleotides) under uncultured bacterium. RNAcentral's name for it is "partial 16S ribosomal RNA". It matches the Rfam family "Bacterial small subunit ribosomal RNA", at positions 524 to 776 of the family's 1533-position model. The record is from RNAcentral.
UACGAGGGGGGCAAGCGUUGUUCGGAAUUACUGGGCGUAAAGCGCACGUAGGCGGCUUUGUAAGUUAGAGGUGAAAGCCCAGGGCUUAACCCUGGAAUUGCCUUUAAGACUGCAUCGCUAGAAUCGUGGAGAGGUAAGUGGAAUUCCGAGUGUAGAGGUGAAAUUCGUAGAUAUUCGGAAGAACACCAGUGGCGAAGGCGACUUACUGGACACGUAUUGACGCUGAGGUGCGAAAGCGUGGGGAGCAAACAGG